Lepus europaeus (European hare) is the source of this 197-nucleotide small nuclear RNA. RefSeq annotates it as U2 spliceosomal RNA. NCBI's taxonomy places the organism in Eukaryota, Metazoa, Chordata, Mammalia, Lagomorpha, Leporidae. The record is from RefSeq and is a predicted model, not a curated record. The transcript has a single exon.
AUUGCUUCUCGGCCUUUUGGCUAAGAUCAAGUGUAGGAGGGCUGGGCCAGAGACCUAUGUAGUCAUUAGAAUUAACACUUUAAUUUGGCUGAUUCAUUUUGAAAUGAGGACAGGCUUUGCCAGUUUCUAUGAGGACUUUUUCUAUAAAUUUAAUCAGCUAAGCCUACAGCUCCAAGGCUUUGAUACAAGUAUCUUUA